UCAUUCAUUCAAAAAAAAAAAAAAAAAAAACUGAAAAUUAUAAUCAGAAAUUCCCACAUCUGCUUGCAGACUGAGAAAGAGAGAAAUUGCGAGAAAAUGCCCCCCAUAAUUGCCCAACUAGAGACAAUCACAGUUUUCUCUCUUUUAAUAGAGAAAAACAACAAAUUAAAAUCCUUUUUUUAGCAUAUUUUCCACUAUUAAAAAUAAAAACAGUUGCUCGCGUUCUAUAGAUACGUGCAGACACACUUUAAAUAGAAAAGAUUUUAAGCAGUGCAAUAUUUUUUUUAGUUUUCCGUUUUAUUUCUGCUUCUUCAACUGUCUUGUCUUGUGUCUAAUGAAAAUAUAUUUUUAUGAAAAUUAUGAAAAUUUUCAACAGCAAAUUUUAUUAAUAUAAAAAUACCAACAAUAGAAGCCACAGAACCAAAAAAAAAAAAAUAAAUAAAACAUAUUUAUAAAUAACAGAGAUUUAAGGAAGUAAAGUAAAUGCAUUAAAUUUUUGUGGUGCAAUCAAAAAUAUAAAAAAUAGUUAAAUUUUAAUAUUAAAUAAAAGAAAAAGAAAUUUAUAAAAAAUUAAACCUGGUAAAAAAUGCAGGAAAAUGCAAAAGAAGAGGCAAAUAUACUACAUGCAUCAGUAGGAAGUGCAAACGAAAAAUAAAAGAAAAGGCAAAAGGAGAAAACAUGAAAAGAAAAAUGAAGAAAUAUUGAUUUUUUGUGUAAAAGAAUGCGGUGGCACAAAUGCAAGCGUUACAAAACGUAAAAAGUAAAUAAAAAUGUGGAAAAAUAUAAGAAAAAACUUAAAGAAAAAAAUGUUUGAGAAGAAACAAAAAUAGAAUAAAACAAACAUGCAAAAUAACCAACAAAUGUAGAAAUUAAAUUAAAAGGACAACAACUAAACUAAGAAUUGCAUAGACUUUGAAAAUAAAAAAAAACAACAAAAUUGUAGCAACAUCACGAGAACACUAUUAACAAUAAAAACAACAAGAGCACCAUGAAGAAAAACACAUACGGAAACUGUAAACAAUUGCUGUCAAAAGAAAACACCAGCAACAAACAAUAACAACAACUAUUCAAUACAAUAAGAAAAAAAUAACAACAACAAUAAUAACAACUCUUGAAACUCUGUGAUUUGUCAUUACCACCAGAGUGGCCACAUGAUUAGAAAAUGGGGAAAACGUUUUGUAUUAAAUAGAUAAUAUAGAUAGGUCUAUUCCAUAGAGUUUAGAUACUAUUCAGUAGACAACAAUACUUGAAACUGUGUGAUAGAAUAGAGUUUAGAA
This is a long non-coding RNA of Lucilia cuprina (Australian sheep blowfly), 1277 nucleotides long. RefSeq lists it as uncharacterized. The transcript is spliced from 2 exons. NCBI's taxonomy places the organism in Eukaryota, Metazoa, Arthropoda, Insecta, Diptera, Calliphoridae. The record is from RefSeq and is a predicted model, not a curated record.